Molecule: long non-coding RNA, 535 nt
Filed under: Equus caballus (horse)
Lineage: Eukaryota; Metazoa; Chordata; Mammalia; Perissodactyla; Equidae
Description: lncRNA (ENSECAG00000056020.1)
Source: RNAcentral
GAGUUGCAAAUGGGCUGAUUUUCUUCUACUUGAUGAAGCUCUAAGGACUAACACUUGGGAUCUAUUAGCAGCUAUGUUUUGCUUGUUGUAGAGUGCCCAUUUACAGUGCAUUAUAGGGAGCCUACUUAAGUAAUGUGCUGAAUAAUUCUUUAUAUGUUCUACUCAGAGACAGUUCAUGGAAAAUCUUUUAUAACUUGUCAGCGGGCCAUCACAGUAGGUGAUAUGCCGUCAAGUCCAAGAGGCUCACCAUUUCAACAAAACCAGUUUACAACUGGUGAUCACCCCUACCUUGCUGAAUAAUCCUCCACUGAUGGCCACCGUGAACACGGGAGUCAGACUAUGUCCAUCACAUGGAUCAGAUUCCCCAGGCACCUCGUACAAUUGAGCACUUGAAUUGCAAAUCUCAACUUCUAAUGACAGCUCCUCCUGUCCAAUUUAUUUUAACUCUGAUAUCAACUAUUUCUCCUGUACCCCUUGUCUUAGAAUGCUUACAUUUUCAAUUUUUCAAUAAAAAUGCAUAAUCUUCCCCAGCAAA